GAGCUUCCUUGGGUCCAAAGA
RNAcentral lists this microRNA (21 nucleotides) under Vriesea carinata. Its description in RNAcentral is "vca-miR159-5p". Its record names the gene vca-miR159-5p. The record is from miRBase by way of RNAcentral. Lineage: Eukaryota; Viridiplantae; Streptophyta; Magnoliopsida; Poales; Bromeliaceae.